RNAcentral lists this transfer RNA (63 nucleotides) under Desmophyllum pertusum. RNAcentral describes it as "tRNA-Ser". Lineage: Eukaryota; Metazoa; Cnidaria; Anthozoa; Scleractinia; Caryophylliidae. The record is from RNAcentral.
GGCCGAGUGGUUUAGGGCGCUGGUCUUGAAAUCCGGAGGUUGUGGUUUCAAGCUCUCCACCCA